UACUAGAGGAUAGCCCGAAGAAAUUUGGAUUAAUACUCUAUAGUAUCCAAGAAAGGCAUCUUUUUUAGAUUAAAGGUUACGGUAUGAGAUGAGUAUGCGUUCUAUUAGUUUGUAGGUGUGGUAACGGCACACCUAGACUACGAUAGAUAGGGGCCCUGAGAGGGGGACCCCCCACACUGGUACUGAGACACGGACCAGACUCCUACGGGAGGCAGCAGUAAGGAAUAUUGGUCAAUGGACGAAAGUCUGAACCAGCCAUGCCGCGUGCAGGAUGACGGCCCUAUGGGUUGUAAACUGCUUUUAUACAGGAAGAAAAACUUUCUCGUGAGAGAGCUUGACGGUACUGUAAGAAUAAGGAUCGG
Molecule: ribosomal RNA, 362 nt
Filed under: uncultured Bacteroidota bacterium
Lineage: Bacteria; Pseudomonadati; Bacteroidota
Description: bacterial SSU rRNA
Rfam family: Bacterial small subunit ribosomal RNA
Source: RNAcentral